AAAAAGAAUUUAAAAAGUUACUGUGGAUGCAGAGAAGCGCAUGGAUUAGUGGGGCAAAUGUGGGUUUGGAGUGACCAGGAAGAAUGCCACUGUGGCCAAUAAGAUGGCGAGGGCACGGUGGUCUUCUACAGGUCAGGGCGGUAGGGUGGCAGGAGACACGUGGGUAGAUUCAGAAGACGUUUAGGAGUUGGACCCUGAGACUUUUGAGAAACGGGGGGUGAGGAAGUGAAGGUGGCCGCGGUGGCAGGAGCAGCCAGGAGGAUGGAGCCUCCCUUCACUGAGGUCGUUGUCAUUAUCAAGUCCUACACUUUGAGAGCAGAAAACGACCCCGUACGUGGUGGGUCUCCGACAUCUGUUUAUUACGUUGGACCGCAUGCUGCAUAUGAUCCAGCCACCUCGCUCUACUCCUGUGGCUGCCCUUCGUCCUCGUCGCCGGGACCCCUCUCCCUGCCUCCCAGACGACCUGUGCCUUACCCCUUCCUGUCUCUUAUAUUCUCAUAAAUUUGCUGC
Molecule: long non-coding RNA, 510 nt
Filed under: Homo sapiens (human)
Lineage: Eukaryota; Metazoa; Chordata; Mammalia; Primates; Hominidae
Description: HSALNT0128725
Source: RNAcentral